Long non-coding RNA from Ixodes scapularis (black-legged tick), 397 nucleotides. RefSeq lists it as uncharacterized. NCBI's taxonomy places the organism in Eukaryota, Metazoa, Arthropoda, Arachnida, Ixodida, Ixodidae. The record is from RefSeq and is a predicted model, not a curated record. The transcript is spliced from 3 exons.
GCUUACUGCAUCACAAAUGAUUCGCUGCAACACAAAUGAGAUCUCCUUCCCGUUUUUGACAGAGGCCUGACGGUUGACACUGAAGCCUCUUACAACACUUGCCUGCCCGUUCAAGACGAGAAGAAGUUGGACAACUUUCCACAGGUGCUUGUAGGAUGAGUCAACCUUCAAUAGCUUAAGAAGUUCUGUGUAUUUGCCAAGGACGGAAUCACACUCAUGCUCACCCAAAUGUCCAACUGCAAAGACUGCUUCUAAGACUCCUGAAACAUGAAAGGCACUCAUCUGGCUUUGAGGCCAUUUGACGGGGGUCGAUCGAAGACAGGCUCCUAACCAGGUGGAUCCACAGCAUCUCCGGGUUGGCCGCACACUCGUGUGCUUUGCACAGGCUGCUCACAUC